Molecule: non-coding RNA, 204 nt
Filed under: Bacteroides cellulosilyticus
Lineage: Bacteria; Pseudomonadati; Bacteroidota; Bacteroidia; Bacteroidales; Bacteroidaceae
Also listed under: 1 other name
Source: RNAcentral
AUCUUUGCCAUUGAUUAUGGUGUCAUCCGUCGCUUUCGUGGCGGGUGGUGAAAAGGGAAUCAGGUGUAAAUCCUGAACAGACCCGCUGCUGUAAGCUUCAAACAAAGUCUGAAGACGAUACUCACGCCACUGUUUUCUGCAUGAACGGGAAGGGAGUCAUCAGAUGAAGCAAGUCAGAAGACCUGCCAUGAUCUGGAAUCAGGA